This 72-nucleotide transfer RNA is filed under the name Clostridium sp. CAG:307. It matches the Rfam family "tRNA". Rfam says of the family: Transfer RNA (tRNA) molecules are approximately 80 nucleotides in length. Lineage: Bacteria; Bacillati; Bacillota; Clostridia; Eubacteriales; Clostridiaceae. The record is from Rfam by way of RNAcentral.
GGUUGAGUGGUCAAGUGGUUAAGACGGAACCCUCUCAAGGUUCAAUCACGGGUUCGAUUCCCGUCUCGACUA